CAGGGGUGCAGUGUGUGUGUGAGUGUGCUGUGAGUGUCAGGGUGCAGUGUGUGUGUGUGUGUGAGUGCAGUGUGUGUGUGUGUGUGUGCUGUGAGUGUCAGGGGUGCAGUGUGUGUGUGUGUGCUGUGAGUGUCAGGGGUGCAGUGUGUGUGUGUGUGCUGUGAGUGUCAGGGGUGCAGUGUGUGUGUGUGUGUGUGCUGUGAGUGUCAGGGGUGCAGUGUGUGUGUGUGCUGUGAGUGUCAGGGGUGCAGUGUGUGUGUGUGUGUGUGAGUGUCAGGGGUGCAGUGUGUGUGUGUGUCUGUGUGAGUGUGUGUGUG
Molecule: non-coding RNA, 317 nt
Organism: Pelobates cultripes (western spadefoot toad)
Lineage: Eukaryota; Metazoa; Chordata; Amphibia; Anura; Pelobatidae
Source: the annotation of a GenBank genome assembly